UGGCGGCRMYAGCGCGGUGGUCCCACCUGACCCCAUGCCGAACUCAGAAGUGAAACGCCGUAGCGCCGAUGGUAGUGUGGGGUCUCCCCAUGUGAGAGUAGGGAACUGCCA
RNAcentral lists this ribosomal RNA (111 nucleotides) under Klebsiella michiganensis. The record is from RNAcentral. Lineage: Bacteria; Pseudomonadati; Pseudomonadota; Gammaproteobacteria; Enterobacterales; Enterobacteriaceae.